Molecule: ribosomal RNA, 508 nt
Filed under: uncultured bacterium
Lineage: Bacteria
Description: partial 16S ribosomal RNA
Rfam family: Bacterial small subunit ribosomal RNA
Source: RNAcentral
AUUGAACGCUGGCGGCAUGCCUUACACAUGCAAGUCGAACGGCAGCGGGGGAGAAGCUUGCUUUUCCUGCCGGCGAGUGGCGAACGGGUGAGUAAUACAUCGGAACGUGCCCUGUAGUGGGGGAUAACUAGUCGAAAGAUUAGCUAAUACCGCAUACGACCUGAGGGUGAAAGUGGGGGACCGCAAGGCCUCAUGCUAUAGGAGCGGCCGAUGUCUGAUUCGCUAGUUGGUGGGGUAAAGGCCUACCAAGGCGACGAUCAGUAGCUGGUCUGAGAGGACGAUCAGCCCCACUAGGACUGAGAAACGGCCCAGACUCCUACGGGAGGCGGCAGUGGGGAAUUUUGGACAAUGGGCGAAAGCCUGAUCCAGCAAUGCCGCGUGUGUGAAGAAGGCCUUCGGGUUGUAAAGCACUUUUGUCCGGAAAGAAAUGGCUCUGGUUAAUACCUGGGGUCGAUGACGGUACCGGAAGAAUAAGGACCGGCUAACUACGUGCCAGCCGCCGCCGUAA